Molecule: small nucleolar RNA, 107 nt
Filed under: Olea europaea subsp. europaea
Lineage: Eukaryota; Viridiplantae; Streptophyta; Magnoliopsida; Lamiales; Oleaceae
Description: Plant small nucleolar RNA R71
Rfam family: Plant small nucleolar RNA R71
About the family: R71 is a member of the C/D box family of snoRNAs containing the C (UGAUGA) and D (CUGA) box motifs. Multiple nearly identical copies of this snoRNA have been identified in Arabidopsis, and it is thought to function as a 2'-O-ribose methylation guide for 18S ribosomal RNA.
Source: Rfam by way of RNAcentral
AAUAUGUGUUGUGGACAUUGGCGGAGUAAACCUUUAUAUCGUUCCCAAGCCUCUGAAUAGCAUUUUUAGUCCUAUUUUUGGAAACUAGUAAUCUCAUUCCUCAGCUU